GGUGUGGAUCUCCACAAAGUGAUGGAAGCUGGGGACUUUAUUUGCAAGGCAGUGAAUAAAACCACAAACUCUAAGGUUGCCCAAGCCUCCUUCAAAGCACGACUUGAAUGAGUUUAUGGUUUGAGAAAGAGAAGAGCCAUUCCCGCCCCAGUUCAUCACAGCAUCAUCAGUGCCAACGCAUUCUGAAGUGGAAGUAAAUAAGAAAGAGCUGGGAAAGGAGAUAUGCUUUGGAAAGUUUAUCAGUGGGUAGACCAUGAAUUCGGUGGAAGGCAAGACGAGGCAUUUGUUCAACUGCAAGCUGGGAAUUAACACCGGUGCACGUCCUUCUGGGGGUGGACAAGGCCUGAUCAUUUGCUCUUACAGAAAUCAUUAUAUUUUUUAGCUUAGUAGAGCUGAAAAUUGACUUCAGAUUUCUCUAAGUAUCAAGUGCUGUGUUAAUGCCUCCUCAAGCCACCUUACCGCCGGGUACACAUUGUUAGUGGUUUAUGAGCCUCGACACAAUGCAGAGUGUGUGGCCCUGAAGUUGUGUGUUUUUCCUCUGGAUCC
RNAcentral lists this long non-coding RNA (546 nucleotides) under Rattus norvegicus (Norway rat). RNAcentral's name for it is "long non-coding RNA NONRATT027889". Lineage: Eukaryota; Metazoa; Chordata; Mammalia; Rodentia; Muridae. The record is from RNAcentral.